CUUGUUUGGCCACAAAUUCGGGAUAGUUAUCUUGAAGCAAGUUAAGGGCUUGGUUGGUAGCUUGUCUGAGUUCCUUUUUACCAGGUCCAGGUGAAUUCUUGAGGUCGUUCACUUGAACCAUGGUAUUGAUACCAGUAGGAUUGAAGUCGAGUUUUCGGAUGCUCUUUUCCAGGAACUGAAUCCUCCAUCUCAAGAACUUGGAUCGUUUUUCUUCAUCAGCGAAAGUGUUUUGAUACAGCUCUUUGUUUUGGAAUUCUCCAUAGACGUUGUAACAGACGGGAUGACCUUCUUUAUCGAACCCCUGCAUAAAAACAACCUUUUCUAGUUCGUUCCCUAGAUCUUCAUCGAGCAAGGUUUCGAUUCCGAAUUCUUUUCGCCAGCUGACAGUGUUUUUGAUCAUAGUGAAUGCGUCCUUCACCUUGAAAUCUCUUGCCCUCAAGAAUUUCAACAAGAUCAC
RNAcentral lists this long non-coding RNA (457 nucleotides) under Gossypium barbadense (sea-island cotton). RNAcentral's name for it is "long non-coding RNA (GBAR_LNC004074)". Lineage: Eukaryota; Viridiplantae; Streptophyta; Magnoliopsida; Malvales; Malvaceae. The record is from RNAcentral.